Long non-coding RNA from Cyprinus carpio (common carp), 590 nucleotides. The record is from Ensembl. Lineage: Eukaryota; Metazoa; Chordata; Actinopteri; Cypriniformes; Cyprinidae.
CUAUUUUAAUUGUUUUUGUAUAUCUUUAUAUAUCUUUGUGUAUAUUUAUGUCCCCAUUUGAAAGCUACAGGAAGUACUCUACGUGUGUUUUCUCUGCGACAGUUGUCUGCAGGCAUGCCGAAAUGCCUUGGAGGUGGCACUGAGGACCCUUAGAGCUCAGGAAGAUGAGAAGGAGGCCAAGCAGUCACGGUUAAAGUGUAUCGGUGGCUUCAUGAGAUAUAAACCCGCUUCAGACUGAAUCUGUGUCCUUCAAAUGAGACCCAGCUGAAAUCUGUUUCACAUUAGCUAGCUGCUCCAGGACUGAUAUCUGUAGCAGAAGCGACAGCUCAGGCAGAGAUGGUCACCCCUUUCCCAGCAGCCCCUGCUUCUGCUCUCAUCAACUCCACUGCCCACUGCUGACAAAAUGGGCUUAUUUGACUCCUCACCCCAUGGCACAGAUGAAUAAUUCACCUCGCCACUGCACUGCUGGGGAGGCGCAGGCAGGUUUGCAUUUGACAGAGCGUGGACAGUGGAUUAUGGGAUUCUGCAGAGGUGCUUCACUCCCAGCCUGUCCAAGAGAAAGGACUUCAAACUGCAGCUGGGCCCGCUGA